GGAUUAGAUACCCUGGUAGUCCACGCCGUAAACUUUGGAUACUAGGUGUUGGAGGGCUCGACCCCUUCAGUGCCGAAGCUAACGCAUUAAGUAUCCCGCCUGGGGAGUACGAACGCAAGUUUAAAACUCAAAGGAAUAGACGGGGACCCACACAAGCGGUGGAGCACCUGGUUUAAUUCGAUAAUGAGCGAGGAACCUUACCUAGGUUUGACAUCCCGAGAAUCCUGUCGAAAGAUGGGAGUGCCUUACGGAACUCGGUGACAGGUGCUGCAUGGUCGUCGUCAGCUCGUGCCG
This 294-nucleotide ribosomal RNA is filed under the name uncultured bacterium. RNAcentral's name for it is "partial 16S ribosomal RNA". It matches the Rfam family "Bacterial small subunit ribosomal RNA", at positions 775 to 1067 of the family's 1533-position model. The record is from RNAcentral.